ACGCUCGACACCUACGGAGGCAGCAGUGGGGAAUAUUGCACAAUGGGGGAAACCCUGAUGCAGCAACGCCGCGUGAAGGAAGACGGUUUUCGGAUUGUAAACUUCUGUUCUUAGUGAAGAUAGUGACGGUAGCUAAGGAGCAAGCCACGGCUAACUACGUGCCAACAGCCGCGGUAAUCUGAGCGGGCUGGCAAGGC
This 197-nucleotide ribosomal RNA is filed under the name uncultured bacterium. RNAcentral's name for it is "partial 16S ribosomal RNA". It matches the Rfam family "Bacterial small subunit ribosomal RNA", at positions 328 to 539 of the family's 1533-position model. The record is from RNAcentral.